ACGGAAGGCAGCAGUGGGGAAUAUUGGGCAAUGGGGGAAACCCUGACCCAGCAACGCCGCGUGAAGGAAGAAGGCUUUCGGGUUGUAAACUUCUUUUACCAGGGACGAAGGACGUGACGGUACCUGGAGAAAGAGCCACGGCUAACUACGUGCCAGCAGCCGCGGUAAUACGUAGGUGGCAAGCGUUGUCCGGAUUUACUGGGUGUAAAGGGCGUGUAGGCGGAGAUGCAAGUCAGAAGGGAAAUCUAGGGGCUUAACCCCUAAACUGCUUUUGAAACUGUAUCCCUUGAGUAUCGGAGAGGCAGGCGGAAUUCCUAGUGUAGCGGUGAAAUGCGUAGAUAUUAGGAGGAACACCAGUGGCGAAGGCGGCCUGCUGGACGACAACUGACGCUGAGGCGCGAAAGCGUGGGUAGCAAACAGGAUUAGAUACCCUGGUA
Molecule: ribosomal RNA, 437 nt
Filed under: uncultured Oscillospiraceae bacterium
Lineage: Bacteria; Bacillati; Bacillota; Clostridia; Eubacteriales; Oscillospiraceae
Description: bacterial SSU rRNA
Rfam family: Bacterial small subunit ribosomal RNA
Source: RNAcentral